UGUGACAACUUAAAGAUACUUUAGCCCAAUCAAAGCUAAACAGAAAACAAAAACCAACAACAACUUAAACAGCUACUAACAUUAAUUGUGCGUGGGCCAUGCCUGAGUGAAUUAUCUGCCAGAAACGCCACAGAUUGGCCACAAUCUCAAGUGCAUCCGUAUAUGUAUCUCACAUCUCACUCCCUGUGUCUGUGUCUAUAGCUCUGUGUGCCUGUGUGUGUCUCAGUGUGUGUUUAAACGAACAAAGCGAAGCGAAUUCAUCGACAAAGGGAAUGCUCUUUGAACACCACAAACAUUUGGAUUAUCUAAUACCAUACAUUGGAUGGAGAGAGAGGAAAACUUGAGGCAAAACAACAUUUAUAAAUAGCGGGGAAAAGGAAAGAAAAACUACAAAGAAAUCAAAAUGAAAAGUGCAGCAAGCAAACAACAAAAUGUGUAACCAAUCAAUGGAGUUUGAACCCUUAAAAAAUAUCCAAGCCAACAACUAAAAAUA
Molecule: long non-coding RNA, 493 nt
Organism: Drosophila guanche
Lineage: Eukaryota; Metazoa; Arthropoda; Insecta; Diptera; Drosophilidae
Exons: 3
Source: RefSeq, a predicted model, not a curated record